GAUGAAGAACGCAGCGAAAUGCGAUAAGUAGUGUGAAUUGCAGAAUUCAGUGAAUCAUCGAAUCUUUGAACGCACAUUGCGCCCUUUGGUAUUCCUUAGGGCAUGCCUGUUCGAGCGUCAUUUCAACCCUCAAGCUCUGCUUGGUGUUGGGCCCUGCCCGCUGCGGCCGGCCCUAAAGACAGUGGCGGUGCCGCCUGGCCCUGAGCGUAGUACAUCUCUCGCUCCAGUGCCCGGUGGUAGCCUGCCAGAACCCCAACUCUCGUGGUUGACCUCGGAUCAGGUAGGGAUACCCGCUGAACUUAAGCAUAUCAAUAAGCGGAGGA
This 323-nucleotide unclassified non-coding RNA is filed under the name soil metagenome. Its description in RNAcentral is "partial contains 5.8S ribosomal RNA, internal transcribed spacer 2, and large subunit ribosomal RNA". The stretch from base 1 to 120 matches the Rfam family "5.8S ribosomal RNA", at positions 35 to 154 of the family's 154-position model. The record is from RNAcentral.